This 272-nucleotide ribosomal RNA is filed under the name uncultured bacterium. Its description in RNAcentral is "partial 16S ribosomal RNA". It matches the Rfam family "Bacterial small subunit ribosomal RNA", at positions 85 to 354 of the family's 1533-position model. The record is from RNAcentral.
CCGCCGGCGACCGGCGCACGGGUGAGUAACACGUAUGCAACCUGGCCGUGACAGAUGGAUAACCGGGAGAAAUCCCGCCUAAUACAACAUAAUGCCGGGAGGGGACAUCCCCUGCCGGCAAAGGGGGCGACCCCGGUCACGGAUGGGCAUGCGGCGCAUUAGGUAGUUGGUGGGGCAACGGCCCACCAAGCCGACGAUGCGUAGGGGUUCUGAGAGGAAGGUCCCCCACAUUGGAACUGAGACACGGUCCAAACUCCUACGGGAGGCAGCAG